UUUAAAUGGCAAAGGUUAUGGUAAAGGUUUUUGGCACCUUUCUUUUACUUGUGCAAUUCAUUUAUUAGAAG
Molecule: transfer RNA, 71 nt
Filed under: Mycoplasmoides pneumoniae
Lineage: Bacteria; Bacillati; Mycoplasmatota; Mycoplasmoidales; Mycoplasmoidaceae
Description: tRNA-Gln
Source: RNAcentral